UUAAUUCGAUGCAACGCGAAGAACCUUACCUACUUUUGACAUCCUGCGAAUCCCGAUGAGAGUUGGGAGUGCCGAAAGGAACGCAGAGACAGGUGCUGCAUGGCUGUCGUCAGCUCGUGUUGUGAGAUGUUGGGUUAAGUCCCGUAACGAGCGCAACCCUUGUCCUUAGUUGCCAGCGAGUAAAGUUGGGGACUCUAAGGAGACUGCCGGUGAUGAACCGGAGGAAGGUGGGGACGACGUCAAGUCAUCAUGGCCUUUAUAAGUAGGGCUACACACGUGCUACAAUGGGGCGUACAGAGGGAAGCCAACCCGCGAGGGGGAGCGAAUCUCGGAAAGCGCCUCGUAGUCCGGAUUGGAGUCUGGAACUCGACUCCAUGAAGAUGGAAUCGCUAGUAAUCGCGAAUCAGCAACGUCGCGGUGAAUACGUUCCCGGGCCUUGUACACACCGCC
This 450-nucleotide ribosomal RNA is filed under the name uncultured bacterium. RNAcentral describes it as "bacterial SSU rRNA". It matches the Rfam family "Bacterial small subunit ribosomal RNA", at positions 946 to 1394 of the family's 1533-position model. The record is from RNAcentral.